ACUCUACCAUAUUCACUAAAUUGAGAGACAUUAAACAAGGAAAGUAAGGGAGGUGAGAGAGCCUCUUCCUCUCGUCAGGCAGUUUAAUGUCACCGCACCAACAUGGAAGGCUAGCUAGCUUGCAAAUCACUUUGGUUAUGGUUGACAUACAGUGAUGUGGUCUUGCACAUCUCUUUGUUGGUAUAUGAUUAACUUUCAUUCAUUCACUUGCAUAUUUUUACCAUUCGAAUGCAUGCUGUGUAGUAGAUGGUAUGCCUGGCUCCCUGUAUGCCAUUUGCAAAGCCCACCAGAACAUCGGUGGUCCUCGUGGAUAGCGUGCGAGGAGCCAUGCAUGCUCGCUAAUUUUCUUUAAUUGGCAUGUACUGUAGAUCCUUCUCUUCCUAUUUCAUGAAAAGAACGAAGUUUGUUUC
This 410-nucleotide precursor RNA is filed under the name Dimocarpus longan. RNAcentral's name for it is "precursor microRNA 160". The stretch from base 250 to 335 matches the Rfam family "mir-160 microRNA precursor family". The record is from RNAcentral. Lineage: Eukaryota; Viridiplantae; Streptophyta; Magnoliopsida; Sapindales; Sapindaceae.